AUAACAGUGACAUGCUAAAUUAUGAUUGACCAUAAUCAAACUUGCUCAACCAUUCCCAAUCAUGUAAUUUUUUUAUAGAAGAUUUGCUCUAUUUGAACAUAAAUAUAAUAAUACAGUGACAGAUGUACCUGUCUGAUCUUCUAGAUGUUAUAGCAAAAUAAGUCAAUUCAUGCCUUGAAAGUGGCAAGUGAAUGUUGUUGUUUAGUUAGAUGAGCUAAGGUCAUGCGCUGAAAGUGGGAAGUACAUACUGUAAGUCAGUUGUAUGGGUUCCUGAAGAUUUAUAAGUUCAAAAUCCUGAGAGAUUUUAACUUAUAUGACUUUCAGCUCACUUUGUUCGACCAAAGAUGUCCUAAAUGAUGAAGAUUGCUCCUAAGAUUGAAUUUCUUUCUGAAUUCUGGUUGAUAUUCUUUUAUGCCACUUUAGCAGUGUAUUUUUCUUAGAUCUUUUUGUGGAUUGGGAUGGGUUUAGAUGUUUUCUUUGAUUCAAAAUGUGAGCAUGCUUUGUGAUUAAUAUUGCUGAUUUCUCUUAUAUAUUAAGAACUAGAGAUCAGUAAAUCUGGGUCCUGUUCUCAAUUUCCUGACUUAUGUGGUCUAAAGGACAUGUUGAUAUGAAGCAAGGCAGAUGUAUAAUGUUAUAUGAAUACUUAUUUUGCAUUAUCAGUUGGAUGAGUUUGUAAACUACAAUAACUAGAUAACUGGUGAGUUAAAUAUUAUAGAUAUGACUUGGAGAAUGUAUGGAAUGCUUAUGCCUGCACUUAGGUUUGAUAUUUGUUCUAGAGAAAUUGCAAUUUAUGGGUGGCCCAUGGUCUUUAAAUAAUAAAUUCAAGCUCUAACAGGUAACGAGGACAUAUGUCAUAUGACUAAAUGUUUUUUUUAAAUUGGGCCCAUGGUCUUCUGGAAUUGGUCGGAAUAGUUUUUUUUUUUAAAUUAAUAAAUUCAAGCUCUAACAGGUAACGAGGACAUAUGUUGCUGGAGAAAUAAUAGGGUUUUCAUUUUAUUUCUCACAUUGAAAUAGUUCUGCAUCAAUAUCAAGUGGUACUUUUGCUUAAUUUUGUGUUACACUAAUGUACCAUCUUUUGAGAGCUGAUUUAAUCACUAGUUUAAAUUUAAUCAUGAACACACACACACACACACACACAUAUAUUUAUAUAUUUAUAUAUAUGGAAUUUUCUUAUCCAUGAGGAUCUCUCUUUCUCUAAUGGUUAGUGCCUUUUGUUUAUAUGCUAAAUGACCAGAGUCUUGAUUUCCGACAAUUUUCUGACAAGGAUUCUCAUGGAGAUACUGUUCUUUUUGAUCUCAAAUGUUGUUGUUUAUGUUUAUGGGUGAUAGGUCCUAAUACAUUUUCUUUAGGUAUUUCUAUUGGAUUUUUUCUUCUGUAUGAUGCGUUAUUGUAUAGAAGUUCUGAGUAUUUUGGUGUCAGAGAGCAUGAAACUUCCCUUUUCAAGUAUGUUUCUUCAAUAAGUUUAAACUUUGGUGCUAUGUGAUCUAAAUUGAGUAGGCCCCAUGGUAUUAAUGUAUAACGCACUAGUGGUUGUGAGCCUAAUGUCAGCCUUGAAUAGUUGGUGCCAGGUACUUGCACAAGUCAAUUUUAGGCAAGAAUGAACUUGUCAUGGAACCUUCAAAAUUUGGUUAGGGACCUAGCUUAUUGAUUGAUCUUCAAAUUCUUGUAAAUAUGGGCAAACCUCUGAAGUUCCUUAGAUUUUAAUGGGUAAGGGCUCGUGCAUUGUUGAUAAUGAUGUGGGAUCUGUGCUGUGGACAAAUUGGGUGCUCUUUCAUGUGAAAAGGCUAUCUUUAUAAUUAUCUUAAGUGAAAUUUAAAAUACAACUGUUGCAUGUUUGCCAUUUAUGGGAUUUAACCAAUGUUCUAGAAGCAUUAUUUCAUUGAUGACCUGCGCUGCUGCUUGUUCUGAAUACAUGAAAAGUUGGAUAAAUUCCUAGUUGUGCUAAUUUAUAAACACAAGUGGUUAUACACAAUUUCCACUGACAAGUUUGCAUUUUGAGCUUCUUGAUUUUGUUUGGAUGGAUGUUUUAAUUUGUAAGAUUAGCUAGCUUUAUGCUUGAUAUUUUUGUUUCUAAUAGCUUACUGUUAAUAGAAUCUCAAUUAAUUCUUUUUUCCCCUUUUUGUGGAAAAAAGAAAUAUUUGGGAUACCUGAAUUUUGAUAUUAGAAAAAUGCAGCCAUCAUUGUUGCUAGUUAAAGAGGAGCCAUACCUAAUUGUCUUGGUAUAUUACUUCAUAUGAUCUAUGCUAUGCAUUUAUUGACAUGAUAUAGAGCAAGUAUCAACUAAGAGUUAAGUUUUGGCUGAAACUGAUCCAUUUUGUUCAAGACUGAUGCGGAACUGGUGGAAAUUUGUGGAUUCCAUAAAUCUUGGUCAAUUUUGAUUAAUUUUGGACAAAUUUGGCUGGUUUCAGCGAUUUUGGUUAAAAUCAAUCGAGACUAUUGUUAUUUAUUUACCUUUUUCUGUUUAGCAAGUAAAUAUGGUUUGUGCUUUCUAAAUCUGACAAUACUAUUUGAUACAUAUCUAAGACUCCCAACUAUUUAAGUAGUUGUUUUUUUUUUUUUUGAAUUUUGUUGUGAUGCAUAAGCUGUAUCAAAAUAAUGACAUAGAAUAGUUUUUUAUUUAGUUGGGUUGUCUUUUGCUUGGAUUGUUCAAAUAUAACUGUUUAUAUGUUUUUGUUUCAAUGUGUAUUUUAAAUGAAAUAAAACAAGGUGUGUUUUGGAUAGGUUUCUCUUGCUUAGAUGAGUUAUAAAAAUGAGAUAUGCAUAGAUGAAUUAUUCUUGCCUAGAUUAGUAUUUAUAAUGAAAUGGAACACAAAUAAAUUUGGAUGGUUUUUUUCAUCACUUAGGUGAGCUAUGAAAAUGAAAUAAAAUGAAACAUGUAUAGAGUGAAGUUUAUUAGAAUGAGAAAAUUAGAGUAUGGAAAAUUAAUGAAAAGUAUAUAAAAUUGUAUGAAAAUUAUACAAGUCAGGGAAAAGUGUAAGAAAAUAUAAUACAAUUUACAGCAAGUGAAAAAUCUAUACUAACAUGUUAAGCAUUCAUAUGAUUUUGGUUCUAAACUACCCUUAAUGAUCCUACAUAACUCAAAACACCAUAAAAUAAUAUAGAAUAAUUUUAACUUUUUAAUAUUUAUUCUAAAAGUUUGUGAGAUUUUUGAAAUCACCUAAACUAUUGAAAUCAAAUCUCUACAUAUGGAACUGAAACUAAAAUUUAGUUUUAGAACCUUGAUACCCUUAAUUGAUCAGUUGUAAGUUUGGAAUACCAAAGCAUGAAUUUGCUCUUGUUAAGCUUGUUAUUUCCAAUCAAGGAUGAGGGAUUUACAUCCUUCUUUUUUGGAUGGUGGCUUCAGUAGAAAGUUUGUGAAAAACUAUAUAUAUAUAUAUAUAUAUAUAUAUAUAUAUAUA
This 3398-nucleotide long non-coding RNA is filed under the name Elaeis guineensis (African oil palm). Its description in RNAcentral is "long non-coding RNA (EGUI_LNC058036)". The record is from RNAcentral. Lineage: Eukaryota; Viridiplantae; Streptophyta; Magnoliopsida; Arecales; Arecaceae.